Molecule: ribosomal RNA, 503 nt
Filed under: uncultured bacterium
Lineage: Bacteria
Description: partial 16S ribosomal RNA
Rfam family: Bacterial small subunit ribosomal RNA
Source: RNAcentral
GAUGAACGCUAGCGACAGGCCUAACACAUGCAAGUCGAGGGGCAGCAUAAAGGUAGCAAUACUUUGGUGGCGACCGGCGCACGGGUGAGUAACACGUAUGCAACCUACCUGUAAGAGGGGAAUAACCCGGAGAAAUUCGGACUAAUACCGCAUAAUACCGCUGAACUGCAUGGUUUAGUGGUGAAACAUUUAUGGCUUACAGAUGGGCAUGCGUAUGAUUAGCUAGUUGGUGAGGUAACGGCUCACCAAGGCAACGAUCAUUAGGGGUUCUGAGAGGAAGGUCCCCCACACUGGUACUGAGACACGGACCAGACUCCUACGGGAGGCAGCAGUGAGGAAUAUUGGUCAAUGGGCGAGAGCCUGAACCAGCCAAGUCGCGUGAAGGAAGAAGGUUCUAUGGAUUGUAAACUUCUUUUGUAAGGGAAUAAAAAAGAGUACGUGUACUCUAUUGUAUGUACUUUACGAAUAAGGAUCGGCUAACUCCGUGCCAGUAGCCGCAGUAA